Passer domesticus (house sparrow) is the source of this 266-nucleotide long non-coding RNA. RefSeq lists it as uncharacterized. NCBI's taxonomy places the organism in Eukaryota, Metazoa, Chordata, Aves, Passeriformes, Passeridae. The record is from RefSeq and is a predicted model, not a curated record. The transcript is spliced from 3 exons.
GCAGGAACCAGGUGACAGAAGCUUCUGUGGCUGUUGUGUUACAGAUAUGUCUCCAGGGAGGACUUCUCCAGCUCCUACCUUGGAUGCUGCACCCAAGCCCAGCUCCCAUGGCAGGGGUCCUCCACCAGAAGAGACCAAAGGCAUGGCAUACAAGAAAUUCCAGAACCCAUUUGAAUUCAUGUGGCAAAUGCUGAAGGAAAUGCUGCAGAGAAGUCAAGAAGUGGAUUUUGAGCCUGUGCAGAAGGAAGCAUUUCCCGGAGGAAGCA